AGAGCGAACGCUGGCGGCAGGCUUAACACAUGCAAGUCGAACGAGAAAGUGGAGCAAUCCAUGAGUAAAGUGGCGACCGGGUGAGUAACACGUGACUAACCUACCUUCGAGUGGGGGAUAACCUCGGGAAACCGGGCUAAUACCGCAUAAAAUCUUUGGAUCGGAAGAACUGGAGAUCAAUGGAGCAAUUCGCUUGAAGAGGGGGUCGCGGCUGAUUAGCUAGUUGGCGGGUAAUGGCCCACCAAGGCUUUGAUCGGUAG
This 260-nucleotide ribosomal RNA is filed under the name uncultured bacterium. Its description in RNAcentral is "partial small subunit ribosomal RNA". It matches the Rfam family "Bacterial small subunit ribosomal RNA", at positions 26 to 286 of the family's 1533-position model. The record is from RNAcentral.